Molecule: non-coding RNA, 93 nt
Organism: Mycena rebaudengoi
Lineage: Eukaryota; Fungi; Basidiomycota; Agaricomycetes; Agaricales; Mycenaceae
Source: the annotation of a GenBank genome assembly
GGCAGGAAGGCGCAAGGUGCGCGUUGGGUUCUUUCGCAAUCAUUCGGUUCAAUAAGCAACUCGAAGGUCCCCGUUCGACUCGGGGUCCUGCCA